Pan troglodytes (chimpanzee) is the source of this 625-nucleotide long non-coding RNA. RefSeq lists it as uncharacterized. The record is from RefSeq and is a predicted model, not a curated record. Lineage: Eukaryota; Metazoa; Chordata; Mammalia; Primates; Hominidae. The transcript is spliced from 5 exons.
GGAAAGCAGUGUCCUGAGAGUAAGACUGUAUAAUAAUAAGGAAGAAGAAAUAUUUUGGACAUACAACAUAUCAACUCACAGCCAAUGGGUGAAAGCAGAUGUGUUAAUACCAGAAGAUCUGAAGACAUUUAAGAUUAUUUUUGAAGGGACUCUUUAGAGCCAGAGAAGUUUUAUUGCCCUUGAUCACCUCUGGGUCUAUGCCUGUGGACAGACCCAAUCCAGAAAGCUUUGCUCUGAAGAUGAAUUCCCUUGCACUAGUGGCCAGUGCGUCGCCAAAGAAUCUGUCUGUGACUCUCGGCAGGACUGCUCCGAUGAGAGUGAUGAAGACCCAGCAACUUGCUCAGACUCCAUGGACCAGAGCAUCAGCAUUACCUGGGAACUUAGUGGAAAUGCAGAACCUCAGGCCCUGGCCCAGCCUUACGGAACCAAAAGCUACAUGGAACAAGGUCCCAGCAAAGCAUCUCGCCUGUGACUUUGAGUCGGGUUUCUGCGGUUGGGAGCCAUUUCUCACAGAAGAUUCACACUGGAAGCUGAUGAAAGGAUUGAAUAAUGGAGAGCACCACUUUCCUGCAGCUGAUCACACAGCAAACAUAAAUCAUGGUAGGACAUUAUCCUCUUUAAAAAA